Molecule: unclassified non-coding RNA, 1103 nt
Filed under: Exaiptasia diaphana
Lineage: Eukaryota; Metazoa; Cnidaria; Anthozoa; Actiniaria; Aiptasiidae
Description: 15-hydroxyprostaglandin dehydrogenase [NAD(+)]-like, transcript variant X1
Source: RNAcentral
AUAAUUGUUCAUAUCAUACUCAGCCUCAACCAAUAAUUGUUCAUAUCAUACUCAGUCCCAACCAAUAAUUGUUCAUAUCAUACUUAGCAUCAACCAAUAAUACCCAAUCUCUCACAACUUCCCAUUACAUAUGAAUAUCGUGAUUUCGAUAGUGAUACUAACUAGUACUACAGGAAUCUCGCCGUGGCCNCUUCCCNUCUAUUCAGCUACAAAAAGUGGUGUGAUUGGUUUCACUAGAGCAACUGCCGUUUCACGGGUAGCUGUGGAAAAGGGCAUACGAGUCAAUUGUCUGUGUCCCCAUGGAACAGACACUCCCAUGGCCAAGAAAGCACUGGAAGAUUUCCCUGAGCUUGAGCAAUCAUUGAUGAAACCAGAGGUUAUUGCUAAAGCUCUGAUUCAGCUCAUUGCCGAUGACUCCAAGAAUGGCGAGGCUCUGGUUAUACUUGACGAACAGACGUCNGGUUACCACCAGUUUAACAAAUUGGGUGUAUUCAAACCUAACUGAACGUGGACAAACUUAUAAUAUCUACUAUCUAUCCUGGCUGCCAUCAAUUUAACACCCUGGUGUAUUCAAACCUAACUGAACGUGAACAAACUUAUAAUAUCUACUAUCUAUCCUGGCUGCCAUCAACUUAACAACCUGGUGUAUUCAAACCAAACUUAUGUUAUUAGUAUUCUUUUAAUGAAUGGUUAAAGACAUUUUGACAUGUUUUCAAUUUUACCAUGUACCUCAGUAAAUUUCUUUUUGUUUUAAUGAUAAAGUUCCGGAGAAUCCACAAAAUCAUUCCCUAUUUGAUNGUUUUUGCCGAUGCGACCGCCAUUUUGAGAUUAUGUCAUGAUGCAAAGGCACAAAUUGUUUAGAAAAAAAACCCUACUUUCUCCUUCAAGACGACAGAUUCAAGAUGGCGGCCAUAUUGGCAAAAAGUCCUUGAGGUUGUAAACCUGGGCUAAAUUUCCUACUGACAUUACCAUAGUAACCUUUACAAACUUAAUUUCACAAGAAUUACCAGAAUAUUUUCAAGAAGUAAAUAAUGUUUUUACAAUGAAUAAAAAAAGGAAAUAUCGUUUUAACUUUUGCAAAUAAAUAAAGAAAUUUCAAAGUC